This is a non-coding RNA of Acanthosepion pharaonis, 101 nucleotides long. The record is from the annotation of a GenBank genome assembly. Lineage: Eukaryota; Metazoa; Mollusca; Cephalopoda; Sepiida; Sepiidae.
UACAGCCAUAUCACAUUCAAACACCGGUUCUCGUACAAUCAACGAAGUUAAGCAACGUCGAGCCUGAUCAGUACCUAGAUGGGUUACCACUUGGGAAUACC